Molecule: small nuclear RNA, 142 nt
Organism: Homo sapiens (human)
Lineage: Eukaryota; Metazoa; Chordata; Mammalia; Primates; Hominidae
Source: Ensembl
AUCGCUUCUUAGCCUUUUGGCUAAGAUCAAGUGUAGUAUCUAUUCCUAUCAGUUUAAGUGCCUUAAUUUCUCUUCCACUUUUUGGACAGGUAGUUUUGCUGGAUAUAGAAUUCUUAUUAGCUUUUGUCUUUCAGCACUUUGA